Molecule: ribosomal RNA, 460 nt
Filed under: uncultured bacterium
Lineage: Bacteria
Description: partial 16S ribosomal RNA
Rfam family: Bacterial small subunit ribosomal RNA
Source: RNAcentral
CCUACGGGAGACAGCAGUGAGGAAUAUUGGUCAAUGGGCGCGAGCCUGAACCAGCCAAGUAGCGUGAAGGAUGACUGCCCAACGGGUUGUAAACUUCUUUUAUAAAGGAAUAAAGUGCGGCACGUGUGCCUUUUUGUAUGUACUUUAUGAAUAAGGAUCGGCUAACUCCGUGCCAGCAGCCGCGGUAAUACGGAGGAUCCGAGCGUUAUCCGGAUUUAUUGGGUUUAAAGGGAGCGUAGAUGGGUUGUUAAGUCAGUUGUGAAAGUUUGCGGCUCAACCGUAAAAUUGCAAUUGAUACUGGCAGGCUUGAGUACAGGUGAGGUAGGCGGAAUUCGUGGUGUAGCGGUGAAAUGCUUAGAUAUCACGAAGAACGCCGAUUGCGAAGGCAGCUUACUAAACUGCCACUGACAUUGAUGCUCGAAAGUGUGGGUAUCAAACAGGAUUAGAUACCCGAGUAGUC